This 213-nucleotide ribosomal RNA is filed under the name uncultured bacterium. RNAcentral's name for it is "partial 16S ribosomal RNA". It matches the Rfam family "Bacterial small subunit ribosomal RNA", at positions 8 to 214 of the family's 1533-position model. The record is from RNAcentral.
AGAGUUUGAUCAUGGCUCAGAAUGAACGCUAGCGGCAGGCUUAACACAUGCAAGUCGAGGGGCAUCAUUGGAGUAGCAAUACUUCAGAUGGCGACCGGCGCACGGGUGCGUAACGCGUAUGCAACCUACCUUUAACAGGGGGAUAACACUGAGAAAUCGGUACUAAUACCCCAUAACAUCGCAGACGGCAUCGUUUGCGGUUGAAAACUCCGG